Molecule: unclassified non-coding RNA, 200 nt
Filed under: Helotiales sp.
Lineage: Eukaryota; Fungi; Ascomycota; Leotiomycetes; Helotiales
Description: partial internal transcribed spacer 2
Source: RNAcentral
UUAAGUUCAGCGGGUAUCCCUACCUGAUCCGAGGUCAACCUUAAAAAAUUAGGGGUUGCUGGCAAGCAUCCACAAGACAUCUAUAGCGAGAAGAAUUACUACGCUUAGAGCCAGAUGGCACCGCCACUGUCUUUAAGGCACACUAUUUCUAGUGAUGCCCAAUACCAAGCAGAGCUUGAGGGUUGUAAUGACGCUCGAAC